RNAcentral lists this long non-coding RNA (612 nucleotides) under Oryza brachyantha (malo sina). RNAcentral describes it as "long non-coding RNA (OBRA_LNC000715)". Lineage: Eukaryota; Viridiplantae; Streptophyta; Magnoliopsida; Poales; Poaceae. The record is from RNAcentral.
UCUCUUUAUUCGUACGCCUCCCGUCUUCGUGGUGGGCGCACUGUCGCUGUCGGGGCCGGCCUCGUACUAUUAAACUCCUCCCAAAGUCAGAUCUAUGAGUCCUCUGUUUCAACAAGCUGGAUUAACCUGAAAAUUGACGGUUGUUCAGAACACAAACGCAUAAAAAUCGCCACUAUAGCUUUCUCCCCCCAAAAGAAAAUCACAGUUGCAGUCACUCAUACACUCGAAUCACCCAACAGCAUCACCUGAAUCAGACAUUUCACCGACAACUCUGCUGCAGCCUGCAGCAGAUAGAGGGUACGCACAUCCAAGAUAGUUUUACUGUUUGUCCCUGAUCAGCUCAGUUCCAGCCAGUAUUCCUUGCUCUGUGCCACGUUGCUCCAAGCAGCGGCAGCAGCAGCUCAGCUGCCGCAGCUAGCAGCUUGCCGUGCUCUGCUCCACAGGCUACAGCGGCAGCGGCAACCAAAAGGCAGCUCCUUUCUGUUCCAGCUACUACUACUGAGCCAAGAAAUGGUGGCCUGAGCUCCGAAUCCUUCGCGGCUGGCCCAACUACCGGAUCUCCCGGCCUCCCUCUCGGCUCUCGCGUCGCCGGGGGAUUGGCGGGGGGGGGGG